This 762-nucleotide ribosomal RNA is filed under the name uncultured Peptostreptococcus sp. RNAcentral's name for it is "bacterial SSU rRNA". It matches the Rfam family "Bacterial small subunit ribosomal RNA", at positions 28 to 776 of the family's 1533-position model. Lineage: Bacteria; Bacillati; Bacillota; Clostridia; Peptostreptococcales; Peptostreptococcaceae. The record is from RNAcentral.
GAUGAACGCUGGCGGCGUGCCUAACACAUGCAAGUCGAGCGAGGGUUUGCUCAGUAUUGAGUAUUCUAAGUCUAGAAUGUUCAAUUCUGAGCAAAACCAAGCGGCGGACGGGUGAGUAACGCGUGGGUAACCUGCCCUAUACACAUGGAUAACAUACUGAAAAGUUUACUAAUACAUGAUAAUAUAUAUUUGUGGCAUCGCAGAUAUAUCAAAGUGUUAGCGGUAUAGGAUGGACCCGCGUCUGAUUAGCUAGUUGGUGAGAUAACUGCCCACCAAGGCGACGAUCAGUAGCCGACCUGAGAGGGUGAUCGGCCACAUUGGAACUGAGACACGGUCCAAACUCCUACGGGAGGCAGCAGUGGGGAAUAUUGCACAAUGGGCGAAAGCCUGAUGCAGCAACGCCGCGUGAACGAUGAAGGUCUUCGGAUCGUAAAGUUCUGUUGCAGGGGAAGAUAAUGACGGUACCCUGUGAGGAAGCCCCGGCUAACUACGUGCCAGCAGCCGCGGUAAUACGUAGGGGGCUAGCGUUAUCCGGAUUUACUGGGCGUAAAGGGUGCGUAGGUGGUCCUUCAAGUCGGUGGUUAAAGGCUACGGCUCAACCGUAGUAAGCCGCCGAAACUGGAGGACUUGAGUGCAGGAGAGGAAAGUGGAAUUCCCAGUGUAGCGGUGAAAUGCGUAGAUAUUGGGAGGAACACCAGUAGCGAAGACGGCUUUCUGGACUGCAACUGACACUGAGGCACGAAAGCGUGGGUAGCAAACAGG